Molecule: long non-coding RNA, 2830 nt
Filed under: Scleropages formosus (Asian bonytongue)
Lineage: Eukaryota; Metazoa; Chordata; Actinopteri; Osteoglossiformes; Osteoglossidae
Description: lncRNA (ENSSFOG00015020346.2)
Source: RNAcentral
GUGCCGUAGAGCCUCUGUAUAGAACUCACACUUCACAGCCAGACGAGCUCUUCGAAACAGGGAUACGACAGGGCAGUUGGCAUCAGAACACAGGAAACACGCUCGAGAGACACUUCAGAGGUCAUCUGAGGAGGGAGGAGGGGAAGCAUGACAAGGGAGCGCUGCGAUUUGGGGCGCCGGGAUCCGUAGGGACAGUGACGGCAUGGAGGAUCCAGUACCCGAGAGCGAUUACAGGGCAGAAAGAGACGAAGCAGAACGUCUGCCUGGAGGUGCAUAUGACCUGACUCCUCAGAGCAGGGGAGACCCCCAGAGGGAGAAUCCGAACCCCGCCCCAAGCCGACGGAACACACACACCCCCUCAGCAUCCCAGCCUGAGAGUGCACUGCCCGCCGAUGGUCGGAUAAGGCGCAGCUUCUUCAACCUACCUGUGAUCAACCCAGACAGACUGCGCACAGCAAAAGCUUUGGUGGACAAGGCUGUGAAGUUGAAGAAGGUGUUUUCUGUGCAGGGUCCGUACCCUGUGGUCCGUGCUGCCCUCAGGGCAAGGGGAUGGGUGGAACGUUACCUCCCACGCCCGACCCCACAGAUUAGGCAUCCCCAUGGAGAUGAUGAUGAUGAUGGCGACAACAGGGAUGACAGUGAUGACAAUGAUGGUCAGCGCUCUUCUCGCCUGGUUCGUAACGAAUCUACGUAUCUCUACUGGACAAUGCGGAGAGAUGCGAUUGACUGUCGCACACUGCGAAAGGAGCAGAUGAUCAAUCAUUAUGCAAAGGCAGGAACUUUCACCACAAAGGUUGGUUUAUGUGUAAACCUAAGAAACCUGCAGUGGUUUGACGCAGCGGACCCAGACACCUUCUUCCCACGUUGCUACAGGCUCGGCGCAGAGGACGAGAAGCAUGCCUUCAUUGAGGACUUCCGGAGGACAGCCUGCAACAGCCUGUUGCAGUACGUUGUUGAGAGGCAUUACAGGAAUCAAUGCACCAACUUUGCAGGAUAUCCUAUCACAUUACCCUUCACUCCAUUCCUUCCUCUAGGUCAGAAGAAGCAAAAUAAGCGUCGAGCCAUGCAAAUGGUUGGCUCUGGAAUGAUUGACACUGCAUUACAAGUUUGCCAGGACUUCCUGGACUGUUUAGAUCAUCAUGAUAUUGACAUUGCCAAAGAAACUUCAUCUUCUCUCACAGAACAACAGUGGGCAGAAUUUCUUCACAACUAUUACCUUGUUGUGCAUGAUGGAGUGGAAAUGGAGGAUAGUGCUUGGUAUGUCGAUCGAUGUCACACAAUGCUGCAGAGGCUGCAAGCGGUCUGUCCGCAGCUUGACACAGACGGAAUCCAUAACAUCUGGAUUGUCAAACCUGGAGCCAAGUCACGCGGCAGAGGCAUCCUGUGUUUUAAUCGACUGCAUGACAUCCUGAAGCUCGUGGACAGCGAUCCUUCUUUGAUCAAGGACAGCAAGUGGGUGGUGCAGAAGUACCUGGAGCGUCCCUUUCUGAUUCAUGGCACCAAGUUCGAUGUACGCCAGUGGUUCCUGGUUACCGACUGGAAUCCCCUGACUGUAUGGUUCUACCGGGAAUGCUACUUGCGCUUCUCUACUCAGCCCUACUCUUUAGAAACACUGGAUAGCUCAAUACACCUAUGCAACAACUCUAUCCAGAAGCACUUCCAGCCAUCAGAGCUACGUCACCCAGAGGUGCCUGAGGACAACAUGUGGUCAUGUGAGCAGUUCUGUUCCUUCCUGUCCAAGCAGGGCCGGGAAGCCCAGUGGAGGGACAUCGUGGUCCCUGGGAUGCAGCAGGCGGUGGUACAUGCCCUACAGACUGCUCAGGACCUUGUGGAGUCGCGGAGGGGUAGCUUUGAGCUCUACGGGGCAGACUUCAUGUUGGGCCGAGACUUGAGACCAUGGCUGAUUGAGAUCAAUGCCAGCCCAACCAUGGCCCCCUCCACAGCUGUGACAGCUCGUCUGUGUGCCGCUGUACAGGAGGAUACCCUACGUGUGGUGCUGGACCGCCGACUUGACCGGAACGCCUCCACUGGUGGCUUCGAGCUCAUAUACAAACAGCCCGCUGUUGAAGUUCCACAGUAUGUGGGAGUAAAUCUGCUGGUGGAGGGGGCUUCCCUGAGACGACCUCGCCUUGCUUCUCAGAGAAGGAACACCUUCCUCCAAGAGCAUGAAGCCGACGCCCAGCCUAGACCCAGCCAGCUGGGACAAGAGGCAGCUGCAAAAACUGCCAAAUCUGCUGUCCGCAAACCAAGAGCAACUGCAGAGAAGCAAGUGCAGCUCAGGCCAACCAUAUCCUACAACAAGACGCCUGCCGCGACCAUAUUCCAUUCUACAGAAAAUGAGAACCACACAGAGAGUGAGAGGAAAGGACUAGCGCCUGUAAGGAGACGGAACCCUGUUGUGUUGGGUCGGCCUUUCAGUCUCUCCCCACUCAGGGUGCCCCGGAAGGUCACCGCAGACCGUUCCGGCCUCAGAGUAGAACCUAGGAACCCAAGACGGCUGGGUUUCACCAGAGCGACAGCUGUCCACUUACCCCAGUAUAACCUGUCCCGCUCUCUGGAUACAGCGUGGAACACUUACCGCUCUCAUAUCCCACACCGCCUGACGCAGCCCACUCUGAAGCCCUUACUACGGGCCCCUCGUGACCUUCCCGCCCUGCAGGGUCCCAUCUUACCACUGAAGGUCAUCAGCCUGCAACUGAGUCUGCUAAACAACACGCACACCAUUCCUCAUACUGCACACGUCUCAAAUCCUGGCCUCCAGAUGCGCCAGUUCUUAUCCCCAAAACAGGCCGUGACCCCCUGCAAGGAAGGUGGUCACAAGUCCUCAUAA